UGAAGCAUGUGGUUUAAAUUCCGGAAAGCAACGCGAAGAACCUUUACCAGGUCUUGACAUCCCGAUGCUAUUUCUAGAGAUAGAAAGUUACUUCGGUACAUCGGUGACAGGUGGUGCAUGGUUGUCGUCAGCUCGUGUCGUGAGAUGUUGGGUUAAGUCCCGCAACGAGCGCAACCCCUAUUGUUAGUUGCCAUCAUUCAGUUGGGCACUCUAGCGAGACUGCCGGUAAUAAACCGGAGGAAGGUGGGGAUGACGUCAAGCCAUCAUGCCCCUUAUGACCUGGGCUACACACGUGCUACAAUGGUUGGUACAACGAGUUGCGAGUCGGUGACGGCGAGCUAAUCUCUUAAAGCCAAUCUCAGUUCGGAUUGUAGGCUGCAACUCGCCUACAUGAAGUCGGAAUCGCUAGUAAUCGCGGAUCAGCACGCCGCGGUGAAUACGUUCCCGGGCCUU
Molecule: ribosomal RNA, 453 nt
Filed under: uncultured Streptococcus sp.
Lineage: Bacteria; Bacillati; Bacillota; Bacilli; Lactobacillales; Streptococcaceae
Description: bacterial SSU rRNA
Rfam family: Bacterial small subunit ribosomal RNA
Source: RNAcentral